UACGUAGGAUGCAAGCGUUGUCCGGAAUUAUUGGGCGUAAAGAGCGCGCAGGCGGCCUGUCAAGUCAGAUGUGAAAUAACCAGGCUUAACCUGGUGGGGUCAUUUGAAACUGGCAGGCUAGAGUACAGCAGAGGAUAGCGGAAUUCCCGGUGUAGUGGUGAAAUGCGUAGAUAUCGGGAGGAACACCAGUGGCGAAGGCGGCUAUCUGGGCUGCAACUGACGCUGAGGCGCGAAGGCUAGGGGAGCAAACAGG
Molecule: ribosomal RNA, 253 nt
Filed under: uncultured bacterium
Lineage: Bacteria
Description: partial 16S ribosomal RNA
Rfam family: Bacterial small subunit ribosomal RNA
Source: RNAcentral